CCUACGGGCGGCAGCAGUGAGGAAUAUUGGUCAAUGGGCGCUAGCCUGAACCAGCCAAGUAGCGUGAAGGAUGACUGCCCUACGGGUUGUAAACUUCUUUUAUAAAGGAAUAAAGUGCAGCAUGUAUGCCUCUUUGCAUGUACUUUAUGAAUAAGGAUCGGCUAACUCCGUGCCAGCAGCCGCGGUAAUACGGAGGAUCCGAGCGUUAUCCGGAUUUAUUGGGUUUAAAGGGAGCGUAGGUGGGUUGUUAAGUCAGUUGUGAAAGUUUGCGGCUCAACCGUAAAAUUGCAAUUGAUACUGGCAGUCUUGAGUACAGUAGAGGUAGGCGGAAUUCGUGGUGUAGCGGUGAAAUGCUUAGAUAUCACGAAGAACUCCGAUUGCGAAGGCAGCUUACUAAACUGCCACUGACAUUGAUGCUCGAAAGUGUGGGUAUCAAACAGGAUUAGAUACCCCAGUAGUC
RNAcentral lists this ribosomal RNA (460 nucleotides) under uncultured bacterium. RNAcentral describes it as "partial 16S ribosomal RNA". It matches the Rfam family "Bacterial small subunit ribosomal RNA", at positions 338 to 795 of the family's 1533-position model. The record is from RNAcentral.